CUCAUUCCCCUUCUCGGUACCUAUCUGUCACACGAGCACUCACUCUCAUGAAUCGCAUGAGUUCACUAGCCAACUGAUGAAGAGGAAUUAACCUCCAUCGAAACCCAAUUUCUUUACGGAUACCAGGUACUAUGGGCAAGCACAAGGCCACGGCUGCUGCUAUUAAGUGCGACAGGGGUAAAAAUGUAAUCAAUUCGGAUUCCAAUGACUUCGAGACACAGGUAGUUCAAAAACCUCUGGGCAAGUGCAAAACCACAGCUUCCAUCACUUCGUGCGGAAAGGGUAACGAUGUAUUUGAUUCAGCUCCCAUUGACUCAGAGACUCGGGUAGUUAAAGGUGUACAGAAAUUGAAAGAACAUCUUGAGGCAGUGGACUAUCUCAGUAGCCAUUCUCUUGAUUAUCUGCUUAAUUCAAAUCCAAUGACUAGUUGCACGUCUUCCCGAAGGUAGUAAGGGCUUUUUAUCGCACGUUUAAUGAGGUUCUAGGAGAGGAGCAUGAGAGCAUGAGCAAUGAACCCAAAUCUUACUUGGUGAUCAUUGAUAGAAAUGUGAUUAAGUUUUCUACUCUGGAUAUUUGUGAGCUGAUUGAGUUUCCUCGGGCCUUUGUGCAUAAUACUUAUUUUGAGCCAGCUUAUGUCACAUCUUGUAUUGAGAUGAUCAUGGCUCUUUCUACUGAUCCAUACACAGGACAUUCUACUGUUCGCCGUGUAGCACUCCCGUAUUUGAUGAGACUUCUUGAUACGGUGGUCAAGAAGAACUUGGUCCCAGUAGGCCAUGAUCAGGUGCGAUGAGGCCCUUUCAUAGAGGGCACUCCCGAGUUCUAUAGCUUAUGGGAGCAUCGGAGCACCUACCAUGAUUGAGCAUUUUGAGCGUCUGCAUACUGAGCUUUGUGUUGUUGCUGAGGAGCAGGCGAGCUUACGGGCUUAUUUGAUGAGUGGCUUUGAGGAUUUGCGGACUGAGCAGAUGACUACUCGAGAUAAAGUAGAGGCGCUUAUGGCAUUCUUAGGGUGUCCACCACCCGACGAUCCACCUCCAUCUUGAUUUCUUUUAUCAGGUUGUAUUAUUCCUCACUUUUGUUGCUCUUUAUUAUUUUAUCUUUUUCUCAUUGGGGACACUGUUGUAUUCUAGUGUGAGGAUGGGAUCCAUGAGACAUGUAUUGUUUAUUUUCUUUUCGAAUUGUAAUUAGAUCUUCUAUAUUAGUGUGUUUGGUGUUUUUAAAAAUUCAAAAACAAUUAUGAUGUUUAUGGGUA
This is an RNA transcript of Tripterygium wilfordii, 1249 nucleotides long. RefSeq lists it as uncharacterized. The transcript is spliced from 3 exons. The record is from RefSeq and is a predicted model, not a curated record. NCBI's taxonomy places the organism in Eukaryota, Viridiplantae, Streptophyta, Magnoliopsida, Celastrales, Celastraceae.